AUUGAACGCUGGCGGCAGGCCUAACACAUGCAAGUCGAGCGGAUGAAUGGAGCUUGCUCCUGUAUUCAGCGGCGGACGGGUGAGUAAUGCCUAGGAAUCUGCCUGGUAGUGGGGGAUAACGUCCGGAAACGGGCGCUAAUCCCGCAUACGUCCUGAUGUAGAAAGUGGGGGAUCUUCGGACCUCACGCUCUCAGAUGAGCCUAGGUCGGAUUAGCUAGUUGGUGGGGUAAAGGCCUACCAAGGCGACGAUCCGUAACUGGUCUGAGAGGAUGAUCAGGCACAAUGGAACUGAGACACGGUCCAGACUCCUACGGGAGGCAGCAGUGGGGAAUAUUGGACAAUGGGCGAAAGCCUGAUCCAGCCAUGCCGCGUGUGUGAAGAAGGUCUUCGGAUUGUAAAGCACUUUAAGUUGGGAGGAAGGGCAGUAAGUUAAUACCUGGCUGUUUUGACGUUACCAACAGAAUAAGCACCGGCUAACUUCGUG
Molecule: ribosomal RNA, 484 nt
Filed under: uncultured bacterium
Lineage: Bacteria
Description: partial 16S ribosomal RNA
Rfam family: Bacterial small subunit ribosomal RNA
Source: RNAcentral